Molecule: non-coding RNA, 25 nt
Filed under: Mus musculus (house mouse)
Lineage: Eukaryota; Metazoa; Chordata; Mammalia; Rodentia; Muridae
Source: RNAcentral
AGAUGUCUUAGGAUCCUGUGGGUGA